This 313-nucleotide ribosomal RNA is filed under the name uncultured fungus. Its description in RNAcentral is "SSU rRNA". It matches the Rfam family "Eukaryotic small subunit ribosomal RNA", at positions 1344 to 1680 of the family's 1831-position model. The record is from RNAcentral. Lineage: Eukaryota; Fungi.
UCAUCGUUAACUAGCCCGACCCGCCUUGGCGGGCCGCCGGCUUCUUAGCGAGACUUUUGGCUUAAGCCAAAGGAAGUUGGAGGCAAUAACAGGUCUGUGAUGCCCUUAGAUGUUCUGGGCUGCACGCGCGCUACACUGACAGAGGCAACGAGUUUCAUUCCUUGGCCGGAAGGCCUGGGUAAUCUUGUUAAACUCUGUCGUGCUGGGGAUAGAGCAUUGCAAUUAUUGCUCUUCAACGAGGAAUGCCUAGUAAGCGCGUGUCAUCAGCACGCGUUGAUUACGUCCCUGCCCUUUGUACACACCGCCCGUCGCU